UAAUGAUUGUGAGGCUUCCUAUGUCGGUCAAACAGGGAGACAACUUUUAACGAGAGUUAAAGAACAUAACUCGCAUAUCAGAAGGAGUGGUGCGGGCCAUUCGGUCUUAACAGACCACAGAUUGCAGUAUAACCAUGACUUUAACUGGAAAGACGUGGAAAUAUUAGACCGAGAACCGUCCCUUAGUAAACGCUUAAUAUCAGAAAUGAUUUACAUAAAAAGGCAAAGAGAAGGUUUAAAUUUGCAGACGGAUACAGAAGAUAUACCAGAGAUAUAUAUUAGUGCUAUCGAGGGACUUGUUAAAGUUUAGAAUUAUUGUUGUUACGCGGACUUGUUUUAUAUUAUGCGUGACCUUUCCCCCCGCUUCUUUAUACCGUCGAUAUCUUGUAUAAGACAAGCGUGCCAUUCUCUGUGUGAGCGUCCUCUGAGACACACCGAUUCCUGCAAUUGAUUGACGUGGCGUUGCGACUUGACUAUUGUCCAGUAUGUCAAACCUGCGUUGCGUCACAAUGACAAAGACAGUACAUCCGUUUGAAAAUUUCCUGGCGCUCCAACCAGGAAACUUCUAUGCGACGAAUUUCUGGAACGCGUCGGAGUGCACAUCCAACUGACCAGCGAUGAUUUGUUGUUUACGGCGGUAGAAUCUGUAUGUAUGUUUGCGACGAUAAUUUUUAUAUGUAUGAUAUACGCUGAGGAGGACCCCAAAGAAGGGUCGAAACGUUCGUUCGUUCGUUAAUUGACUUCGGUAUUUGUGACUGUAGAUAAUAAAGUUUAGCGUUUUAACGA
Long non-coding RNA from Temnothorax curvispinosus, 786 nucleotides. RefSeq lists it as uncharacterized. NCBI's taxonomy places the organism in Eukaryota, Metazoa, Arthropoda, Insecta, Hymenoptera, Formicidae. The record is from RefSeq and is a predicted model, not a curated record. The transcript has 2 exons.